GUUAAUCAGUGCAAAUUCAACCCAAAGGUGAGGAAAAGCACUUUCUAAGACAAAGUUGAGUGGAAUAAGAGGCUGUUCAGAUGUGAUUGUGGUGUUUGUCAGAGUUACAGCAAACACAAGAGCUGCUAAGAGGACAAACCACACAUUGGGCAGUGAAGAGCCCAAAGUGACUGAUUGUUCAAGCGUUGAAUUGGAUUAUAGAGGAUUACUGCUCUUAAUGGCUUUAAGAUCUGUUCUCAAACACACAAUGAGAAAUUAACAUUUCUGUGGAAUUGUUUUUAAGACAACAGAACUCUUGACUAACUAAACAUAUGUAGUAUAACUGAAGUAUUCUUGCUUUUCUUUUAAUUUGUACACACUGGCUCUGUAAAAUAAAGCAUGCUUUUUAAGAAUGGCAGAAAUGUGUUCAGAGAUAACCAUCCUAUGCAGUGUUUCCGCAGGUUUUCUAAAGGUAAAUUCAAGACUUUGUAAAGCCUGUCAGAAGAGCAGACGAGGAUCAGCGAGCAGCAGAGUCCAGUCGACGGAACGGAAUGGAAAGGAUGAAAUCACUUCCGUACGACGCUCACGUCCACAUCAUCACACACUUCAGGACCUCCAUCUUCUGCUCACAGACUCAAACAAUCUCUUGUGUGCCAUAAUCUACACCGCGCUCGCCUGCCUGCCGUCUCUCUCGCUCUCUCUCAGAUCAAAGCCCAUGUGAAGUUAUUGGGGAAUUUAUAAGAAACACACGCACCGCUAAAGGCCCGAGAGCAGCUUUUAUUCAGCAGAAGAAUGAAGCUGACGGAGAGAGGAGCUGCAGGAGAGUCUGCCUGUUCUGAAGAGGAAGAUUGAAAUCAAUUAGUGGAGCAUAGAGCGGUGAAAACAUCACAGAUGCUCCAUUCAGCUGGGCAGACAGCAUAAACACACACACACACACACACACACACACACACACACACACACACACACACACACACACACACACACUCACGCACGCACGCACGCACGCACACACACACACGCACUCACACACACACACACACACACACACACACACACACACACACAUAGAC
Cyprinus carpio carpio is the source of this 1052-nucleotide long non-coding RNA. NCBI's taxonomy places the organism in Eukaryota, Metazoa, Chordata, Actinopteri, Cypriniformes, Cyprinidae. The record is from Ensembl.